UGUCCGCCUCGCAAGGAAGCCGGGGACCUGUAGAUCGCGAUAGGCACUGAAGGGUGCUUGCUGUUGCUGCCAUGGAAAUGGUGGAUAUGCGGCGCCCCCAAACUGGAGGCACCCCAAGCCACCCCGAGGAAGCCACUGAGAGUCAACGGGAGUAUCCAGAGCACGGCCAGCUGGCCACGAGACUGGACUGGCUCGGACAGCAUGAACUCCCUCAUCCGCUGGGGCAUGGCGGGGCGGGGGCACCCCCACCCCACCCCGUCAGGAGCGAGGCAAACUUUGGGCGAGGAAAGCGCAGACGGGCGGCUCACCGCACUAAGCGGUUCGUCAUUGUGGGUGCUUCUUCUGGGCGCCGAUCCCUCGCCCCGGGUCCCUUCUUGCCCCAAAGAGGCCCGAACAUAGUCCAGGGCGGCCGAGAAGCGCCAAAUUCCCGUGGAGAAAACGCGGCGGGACGGCCCCGAGGAGUCUCCAGUGCUUCUCCGCGCGGCUACCUCCACUGUCAAGCAGCGCUCAGGGGACUCUCCUCCAUAAUCCACAAAGCGGGUGAUCCUCCCGCCAGGAAUGACCAGCCAAGGUGGGAACAGGGUGCCCAAUUCCCAAAGAAAAGCAACCGUCGCAGGGGGGGAUCCAUCCAGCGGAGCGAGCGACUUGCGCUUCUUAAAGGCGCGCCGACAACGCGCGCAGCUCCCCGGGCGAGCCUCCUCUCUCCUUUGCUCUCCGCCUAUUGCCAGCGCAACGAGGGCGAAGAGGAAGACGGCGACGGCGACAGCGAGGACGGCGGUGGGCAGGAGGCGGCGAGCGGAGCUUUGCAGGGAGAAUCCAUUGCACGCGUCUGAGCGGAGCCACCGCGGCGAGGGGGGCGGGCGAGAGUGAACGAGGAGCAAGCCAUGCUAGCUGGCAGCGAAGGCGAAGCGAGCGCUAUGCAAAUCUGCAGUCUCCCAACAGCAAAUCACCGGCGCCCCUAUGCAAUGCAGCGGACUAGCCUAUGGGGGAGUAAGCAAGCGGGCGCUGGCCCCGGCUCGCUUCCUCACGGCGGCGGCGGCGGCGACGCGCUAACUGGAGCGGGCCAUGUGGCAGGCAGGCUGCGUGCUGCUCAUAAUAGCCUACGGGAGGCUCUGCAGCUUCCUUGCUCGGGGAGAAUUUCCGGGUGGGAUGGGGAACUGAGGACUCAAAUACUUUCAAAUACCGUUUUUGUUCCACGCCCUCCCCCAGACAUUAAUUCUGUCCGUGUUUCAGGACCCAUCUGCGGGUGACGUUAAGCGAAGGGUGCUUCUCCGCCUCUUCUUAUCUUUAAGGGAAUGCCGCCUAUUGGAAAGGAGUGGAGAUGCUUCAAAGAGGAAGCGCAAUCAUUCCUCCUCUUUUCCUCUGCCCUUUCACAAGAGACGCCUCCCCAAAACCACAUAAGCCCUGCCACCUCAGAGAACAAGCAAUAUAGCGAGCAUCCAAGAUAAGGUCUCUGCCAGCCCCGCCUCUGCUCUCUUCCUGACUACCUCCUGUUCUUCUCCUCUGAGUUUACCCCAUUCGAUGAAUGGUGUGGGGGACCCUACUGGUUCCCUGUCCACACUAUACACCUUUUUCUGCUUUCCUGUCCUGUCUCACAGGAAGAGAGAGAAUGCGCCAGCAGAUACAGUACUGCAGAAGGUUUAGGCAGGUGAGCAUCCCAGCUCCUUCCAAAGAGAACAAAAGACGGUGAGCCCCUGAAACAGUGGCAGCACCUUCACCCUCUCAGGCACAGAGGUCAGAUGGCUAACUAUGAGCCAGUCAUCACUCUCAGCCCAACCUACCUCAUAAGGUUGUUGUUGAGGGGAAAAUGGAAGGAAGGAGCUUUCUGGACCCUGUCUUCAGUUGUACAGAAAACAGGCAGUCAUGAGGAGGAUGUGGAUUUAUUCUCCUAGUUCCCAAAUAUAAGACAUAAUCCAAUAGAUGGCAAGUUUACUAAGGAAGAUCUGAAUGUGACAUAAGACAUAAAAGCAGUACAUGGAUAGGAACAGUCUUGGUGAAAUUCCAUCUACAUGCUUUGAAAAACAUUGUGAUUGGAAUUAAAAGGGAUAGCUCUGGUAAAGUCCUUCCUACGUUGAAAAUUAUGACAACCAGUUACAAAAUUAUAUUUUCUCUUCUCCUGCUCCCUUUCUGUCCCACAUCAAGAGCGGAGGCCCUUUCAUUGACCUGAUGAUGAUGAAUGAAAUCUUUCAGUAUCUCCCACCAUUGACCUUUCCAGCCAAGGCUUUUGGGAGUUAAACCAGACAUAUGGAAGAAAUUAGAUUGCCAAAGCAGGAUUGUAGCAGAUAUUAUUUACUAAUUAUUUACAAAUAUGUUUCAACUGUGAAGGUCCUCUUCAUUGAGGAAUCAGAAAGUUACAAUAUAAACAAGUGGGAAUAAUGAAUAAAAGCAUUAGUUUUAGAUACUGUAUGCAAAACAUAGUUGUUCUUCUUGCUGCAGAGAGUGACAUCUAUAUUUUAAAUAUACAACUUUCAUUCUAAUUCAUAAUAUGAAUUCCCCCCAAAUUAAGUAUUUCAUGAAUACAUGAAAUUAAAUUACAGCCUCUUGGAAUAAAACAAUCUUAGCAAUCCUCUAAACAGUGAACAUCAACAAACUUACUUAACUAGUAUGAAAAAACACCUUUUAUUUUUAAAAUAGCUUUGAAUGUCGGUUCAGUACAACAAGUCAAAAUAUAAAUAUGUGUUUUAGAAAUGAUUUAAUUAUACACUAAAGUCUACUUAUUUUACAUUAGUAUAAAUAUCUUAAGACAAAAAUGUCACAAAUUUGCCCAAC
Crotalus tigris (Tiger rattlesnake) is the source of this 2769-nucleotide long non-coding RNA. RefSeq lists it as uncharacterized. The record is from RefSeq and is a predicted model, not a curated record. The transcript has 4 exons. NCBI's taxonomy places the organism in Eukaryota, Metazoa, Chordata, Lepidosauria, Squamata, Viperidae.